GAUGAACGCUGGCGGCGUGCCUAAUACAUGCAAGUCGAGCGAACAGACGAGGAGCUUGCUCCUCUGACGUUAGCGGCGGACGGGUGAGUAACACGUGGAUAACCUGCCCGUGAGUCUGGGAUAACUUCGGGAAACUGGGGCUAAUACCGGAUAAGAUCUUCUGCCGCAUGGUGGGGGGGGGAAAGUCGGGGGGGUUGGGGAUGGACGCGGGGUUUAUCAGCUUGUUGGUGGGGGAGUGGGUCACCGAGGCUGAGGCGGGUAGCCGGCCUGAGAGGUGGACCGGCCACAUUGGGACUGCGAUACGGCCCAGACUCCUACGGGAGGCAGCAGUGGGGAAUAUUGCACAAUGGGCGGAAGCCUGAUGCAGCAACGCCGCGUGCGGGAUGACGGCCUUCGGGUUGUAAACCGCUUUCGCCUGUGACGAAGCGUGAGUGACGGUAAUGGGUAAAGAAGCACCGGCUAACUACGUG
This 470-nucleotide ribosomal RNA is filed under the name uncultured bacterium. RNAcentral's name for it is "partial 16S ribosomal RNA". It matches the Rfam family "Bacterial small subunit ribosomal RNA", at positions 28 to 507 of the family's 1533-position model. The record is from RNAcentral.